RNAcentral lists this ribosomal RNA (450 nucleotides) under Onygenales sp. P-11. RNAcentral describes it as "Geomyces sp. P-11 partial internal transcribed spacer 1, 5.8S ribosomal RNA, and internal transcribed spacer 2". The stretch from base 120 to 273 matches the Rfam family "5.8S ribosomal RNA". The record is from RNAcentral. Lineage: Eukaryota; Fungi; Ascomycota; Eurotiomycetes; Onygenales.
UAUUACACUUUGUUGCUUUGGCAGGCCUGCCCUCGGGCUGCUGGCUCCGGCCGGCGAGCGCCUGCCAGAGGACCUAAACUCUGUUUGUCUAUACUGUCUGAGUACUAUAUAAUAGUUAAAACUUUCAACAACGGAUCUCUUGGUUCUGGCAUCGAUGAAGAACGCAGCGAAAUGCGAUAAGUAAUGUGAAUUGCAGAAUUCAGUGAAUCAUCGAAUCUUUGAACGCACAUUGCGCCCCCUGGUAUUCCGGGGGGCAUGCCUGUCCGAGCGUCAUUACAACCCUCAAGCUCAGCUUGGUGUUGGGCCCCGCCGCCCCGGCGGGCCCUAAAGUCAGUGGCGGUGCCGUCCGGCUCCGAGCGUAGUAAUUCUUCUCGCUCUGGAGGCCCGGUCGCGUGCCCGCCAGCAACCCCCAAUUUCUUUCAGGUUGACCUCGGAUCAGGUAGGGAUACC